AAGUCGUAACAAGGUUUCCGUAGGUGAACCUGCGGAAGGAUCAUUAAAAAAUGAGGUAUUUAAUACCUCUUGUAUUUAAAACCCAACUCUUAAAAUAUAUUUUUUUUUUUCAAAAAAAAAAAAGAAACUUUCAACAAUGGAUCUCUUGGCUCUC
Molecule: unclassified non-coding RNA, 154 nt
Filed under: Gigaspora sp.
Lineage: Eukaryota; Fungi; Glomeromycota; Glomeromycetes; Diversisporales; Gigasporaceae
Description: partial internal transcribed spacer region
Rfam family: Eukaryotic small subunit ribosomal RNA (bases 1-46)
Source: RNAcentral